GUUAGUUUUAGGUUGUGGCAUUAACUAACCAAAAUCCAACAUCAAGACAACGUCUCAAGCCAACGUCAGAUUGACAUCAAAUACUGAUGUUUAGUCGUCAGGUAUGGCAACCAAAAUCCAAUGUCUUCAAGACGUCAUAAUGGUAACGUCCAAUCAACGUCAAAUUAUAACGUCAUUUGACUUUGAUCUUUAGUUUGUUUUUAGGUUGUGACAUUAACUAACCUAAACCCAACGUCGAGCCAACGUCUCAGGCCAACGUCACAUUGACAUCAAAUACUGAUAUUUAGUCGUCAGGUAUGGCAACCUAAAUCCAACGUU
This is a long non-coding RNA of Cyprinus carpio carpio, 318 nucleotides long. Lineage: Eukaryota; Metazoa; Chordata; Actinopteri; Cypriniformes; Cyprinidae. The record is from Ensembl.